Molecule: non-coding RNA, 749 nt
Organism: Meleagris gallopavo (turkey)
Lineage: Eukaryota; Metazoa; Chordata; Aves; Galliformes; Phasianidae
Source: RefSeq, a predicted model, not a curated record
CUGCUCUGCUGGAGUUUCAUAAGUGAGCCCAGGAUACAGUGUAUACACUUCACUUUCUUCGGAAAUCAUGCUAAGAACUAAAGUUACUACCUAAAGUUAAAGGAAACAGACUGGUUCAGCAGAGACUGGUUUCUGACUUUCUUCCUGCUGUGCUGGAAAACACUGAAUAUAAGCGUUCUCUUCUGAAAUUUUACCAACACGAACUGCCACACGCUACCAAGUUCUUAAGGCUACCAAGUUCUUAAGCAUUCAUUCUGCUCAGGAAGAUUUCAGUCAUAUUUGGCAGACCUCAGCUCUUUGUGGUUUUACUCAAUUCUUACUCUGGAAACAUUGCUGAUGUUGGAUUUACUUCUCAAAAAACAGUCAGCUUCAACAAUCUGGACUUAUAGCAUAUCAACAUCAACAGUUAUACUGGACCUUACUCCCAAUCUGCAAAACUAACUGAAUUAAAGGAAUGCUAUAGAUUCCACUACCAGUUUUAGAGAUGUUUUUUAAAUCACUACUUUUUCUGUUUUUGCCAUUGCACCACCUGUCUGCUUAUCUCCAAGAUCAACAUGGAAAUCAGAAUGCCAUACAGAUUCAGAAAUGUGCUGAGAUGCAAACUGAGGCCUAUAUGAAAUAAUGGGACAUGGAGAACUCUGUCUUCCAAAAGCAGACUUCAUUGUCUCAAUGAUGUCUGUAAGCAUACACAGAGAACUAGGUCAGCUUACAUGGAGAAGAGAUCAUCUGCAACGGCAGAAUUACAUGGA